RNAcentral lists this ribosomal RNA (542 nucleotides) under uncultured organism. Its description in RNAcentral is "bacterial SSU rRNA". It matches the Rfam family "Bacterial small subunit ribosomal RNA", at positions 13 to 548 of the family's 1533-position model. The record is from RNAcentral.
UUGAUCCUGGCUCAGAAUGAACGCUGGCGUGAUGGCUAAGACAUGCAAGUCGAACGGACCAUAUAAUUGGGUAACCGAAAGUAUGGUUAGUGGCGAAAGGGUGAGGAAUAGAUAGGAACGUACCCUGUGCUCUGGGAUGGCGUCUGAAGCUUCGGCUUCUUCCGAAAGGGGCGGUAAUACCAGAUAAUGUCCUCCGGGACCAAAGAUUUAUCGGCAUUGGAGCGGCCUAUCUCCUAUCAGCUUGUUGGUGAGGUAACGGCUCACCAAGGCAACGACGGGUAGCGGGACUGAGAGGUUGGCCCGCCACAUCGGGACUGAGACACUGCCCGGACCUCCACGGAGGGCUGCAGUAACGGAUAUUGGGCAAUGGGCGAAAGCCUGACCCAGCAAUGCCGCGUGCAGGAUGAAGCCCCUAGGGGUGUAAACUGCUGUCAGGGGUCAGAAAGCUGGUUUCGGCCAGUUGAUCAACCCCAGAGGAAGUCACGGUUAACUUCGGUUGCCAGCAAGCCGGGGUAAAUACGAGGUUGGCAAGCGUUAUUCGG